ACUAAAACUAACAAACCAUAACAGAACUCAGAAUAUUACAGCCUGCCCACAGUAACAUUAAAAGACCAAAACGGGCAGAGGUGAAUUUUCUCCCAAAUUUCCCAAGAGGGGAAGAUCUUGGAAGCUUGUAGCAAAUCAGACCCCAAAUUGUAGAUGAAGUCAAGAUAGCCAACAAAAACCUCACCCAGAUUACAGCUCUGAUGCAAACUACCUUUGCCUUACGGCGAAAAGAAGUCGUCAGCGAUGAGCUACCUGUUGGAGAGAUCUUGGAACGCUGGCCUGCCCUUGGAAUUGAGUCCCAGAUUUGGCCGAAGCCCUUGAUAAGCUCUUCAGUGCUUAUGACCUCCAGGAGCAAGUCCAUGGAAGACGUGCAGUUUUUCUCCGUGCUCUUCCUCCUUAUCUGUGCGAGGAUGACUCCAAGUUCCUGAAGAUGUGGGAUAUCUCCUGAGGAAAAACACCAAGCAUCAACCCUGAUCCUCUGGAUUACAGGAACCAGACUUCAUCGACUUGUUGGCUUCCCAACAUCUCUCUGCUUUUACUGAAGAAGCUUCUAGUUAUUUAUCACUUUACUGAUCAUUAAUUAAAAUUAAAACAUGUGUUGCUCUGAAUGAUCAGAACCGUUCUGACUGGAAGAGACUGAAUGGAGACAUUUAUAGAGUGAUGGUCUGAAGCUGCUGUGGUCUGGAUCAAAUCAAUUCACUUUAUCUAUAGAACAUCAGUUACCAACAUGUCAUCUGAAGGGACUUUACUAAAAAAAGAAAAGAUAAAUAAAAGUGAUUAAACUGUAGAACCCACAGAACAGUUUUACCUUCAGGGAAGCUGAACGGAGCAAAGAAAAGUCUGCAGAAACUGGACGGAUUGAACUCUGAGCUUAAAUCUUCUGAUGGCUCCAGUUUCCACUGAGAGGCUUUUAUUCAGCAGUUUAGGGCUGAAGGAAGGUCCAAAUGGCUCCAGAGGAGGUUCUGGAGAUGGAAAAGAACUCUAUGAAGUGAUGGUGGCAGUCUGCUGCUCUAACAUCUAGUCUUUCUAGAUCUAAGCUGCAGCCUCCACAAGCAGACACUGACUGACGGCGACUCCUGAUGAAUCUGCUCAGCUUUUUCACUCAAUCUUGGACAUUUCCCACGUUCUGUAAUCAAAACUGAGGAACCGUCAAACUGCAGCAGGAGCAUCCAACCACAGCUCUACCCAGCAUGGCCUCCUCUUCUGCUCCUCCUGCUGGUG
Molecule: long non-coding RNA, 1221 nt
Organism: Fundulus heteroclitus (mummichog)
Lineage: Eukaryota; Metazoa; Chordata; Actinopteri; Cyprinodontiformes; Fundulidae
Exons: 4
Source: RefSeq, a predicted model, not a curated record